Molecule: ribosomal RNA, 1485 nt
Filed under: uncultured Bordetella sp.
Lineage: Bacteria; Pseudomonadati; Pseudomonadota; Betaproteobacteria; Burkholderiales; Alcaligenaceae
Description: partial 16S-23S ribosomal RNA intergenic spacer
Rfam family: Bacterial small subunit ribosomal RNA
Source: RNAcentral
UGAUUAUGGCUCAGAUUGAACGCUGGCGGGAUGUUUUACCGUGCAGAGUCUGGGAACGGCAGCACGGACUUUCGGUCUGGUGGCGAGUGGCGAACGGGUGAGUAAUGUAUCGGAACGAUACCUAGUAGCGGGGGAUAACCGCGCCGAAGCGCCAUGGCCUACCGCAUACGCCCGACAAGGGGAAAGCAGGGGACAACUGGGCCUCGCACUAUUAGAGCAGCCGAUAUCGGAUUAGCUAGUUGGUGGAGUAACGGCUCACCAGAGCGACGUCCGUAGCUGGUUUGAGAGGACGACUUCAGCCACACUGGGACUGAGACACGGCCCAGACUCCACGGGAGGCAGCAGUGGGGAAUUUUGGACAAUGGGGGAAACCCUGAUCCAGCCAUCCCGCGUGUGCGAUGAAGGCCUUCCGGGUUGUAAAGCACUUUUGGCAGGAAAGAAACGGCGCAGGAUAGCCCGUGCAACUGACGGUACCUGCAGAAUAAGCACCGGCUAACUACGUGCCAGCAGCCGCGGUGGCCGUGAGGUGCAAGCGUUAAUCGGAAUUACUGGGCGUAAAGCGUGCGCGAGCGGUUCGGAAGAAGAUGUGAAAUCCCAGAGCUUAACUUUGGAACUGCAUUUUUAACUACCAGUAAAGUGUGUCAGAGGAGGUGGAAUUCCGCGUGUAGCAGUGAAAUGCGUAGAUAUGCGGAGGGGAACACCGAUGGCGAAGGCAGCCUCCUGGGAUAUGCAGCGCUCGUGCGCGAAAGCGUGGGAGCAAGCAGGAUUAGAUACCCUGGUGAUCCACGCCCUAAACGAUAUCAACCAGCUGUUGGGAGCCUUCAGGCCUUGGUAGCGCAGCUAACGCGUAGAAGUUGACCGCCUGGGAAAUACGAUUAUGAUUCAGCUCAAAGGUGGCGGGGACCACACAAGCGGUGGAUGAUGUGGAUUAAUUCGAUGCAACGCGAAAAAAUAACACCUACCCUUGACAUGUCUGGAAUCCCGAAGAGAUUUGAGGAGUGCUCGCAAAGAGAACCGGAACACAGGUGCUGCAUAGGCUGUCGUCAGCUCGUGUCGUGAGAUGUUGGGUUGAUCCCGCAACGAGCGCAACCCUUGUCAUUGGAUUACAACUACGAGGGGGCACUCUAAUGAGACUGCCGUGACAAACCGGAGGAAGGUGGGGAUGACGUCAGAGUCCUCAUGGCCCUUAUGGGUAGGGCUUCACACGUCAUACAAAUGGUCGGGACAGAGGUGUAACCACGAAAGGGGAGCCAAUCCCAAACCCGAUCGUAGUCCCGGAUCGCAGUCUGCAACUCGACUGCGUGAAGUCGGAAUCGCUAGUAAUCGCGGAUCAGCAUGUCGCGGUAGACCACACGUUUCCCGGGUCUUGUACACACCGCCCGUCACACCAUGGGAGUGGGUUUUACCAGAAGUAGUUAGCCUAACCGUAAGGAGGGCGAUUACCACGGUAGGAUUCAUGACUGGGGUGAAGUCGUAGCAAGGUAA